UAUUUAGUAGUUUAAAUUAAAAUGUAUCAUUGAAGAUGUUAAGAUAACAACUUGUUCUAAAUUA
This 64-nucleotide transfer RNA is filed under the name Sepioloidea lineolata. RNAcentral's name for it is "tRNA-Phe". Lineage: Eukaryota; Metazoa; Mollusca; Cephalopoda; Sepiida; Sepiadariidae. The record is from RNAcentral.